AUGCUGACGCCGCAGAAGAGGCGCCGCCGCCGCAGGAGGUCUCCUCGCGAAGGACCGUCCCGCCGGCGCCGCGGUGAAGAAGGCGCAUCGUUGUCUGGAUCCCUUGUCGAAUUGGACAUCAGCAGCACGACAUCCAGCGCACCGCCGGCCCGCCAGUCCAGGUACCAUGAGAUCCUCGCCUCGCGCCUCGCCGGAUUGCACUUACAAGCGGGCGUCGCUGUCGACAGCCCAAAUCUUCCUUCCGAUGAAAUUGUCCAAGUCCUCGCUCGUUCUAAUUUCUAUGAUGAUGAGCUGCGGGCUGCCCUAGUAGAAUAUCAAGCCCACAAGUUCUUGAGCGAACCCCACGGACCAGAUGUUGGAGGUACAUACUUUGGAGAGGACUCGGGCGAUGAUAUCACUGCGGAGGAAUUUGCCAAGUACUCUGGACAACUAAAGACUCGCAGACCGGCUGAAAUUGACACUAAGACUGGACUGGAUCAAGAGCAGUUGGACAGCCUCCUCGCCAAGUAUAAACGUUAUCGCUUCAAAGCUUACCUGCUUCUGUUAGGAAAGCCUGUCGACGAGCUAGAAGAAGCUGCAUUGGAAUGCAAGUACCCUAUGGAGCUUGGCUUGGAGAAUGAGUUCUUCUCUCCUUACCUUCAUGAUAGUGCCUUUGGCUGGUAUUUCGACCACGACCUCUGUUUACUUGCAAACUUGAGCGACUACCAGCGGCUAGUCCUUCCUAACUCUGGUGGGAAUGAGUAUGAAUAUGACAGAUGGAGUCAGUACAAAGCGUUUUAUAACACCCCUGAUGCUGAUAGAGAGUAUGUGCUGUACUGGGAAAAGAUGGUCAAGGAAAUGAAGUGGCUUGAAAAUCAUGUGCUUAAAGAUUUUCUGGAGUGGGAGCCAAUGCGCCGUAAAGGUUUGUACCAAUCAAUUAAGAUUGCCAAUGGGUUCACCAACAUUCAUUUGGGUCUAGCAUGUCAUGGUUUCGAGGAGUAUGUAUUGAGGACUCGCCUUAAUCGUCUGUUUGUCGAAGGUCUUGACCGUGCCUUUCUUGAGAUUUGGAAGCGGGUCAAUGAGGGUCAGAUGUGUUUCAGAGAUGCUCUGCAGGAUGUUUACAAUGAGAAUCUGGUUCCAUUGCGCCAACAUACUUUGAAGGCUGAGCUGGAGUGGCCCGGCGGUUUUUUGCAACUGGAGCGACAAUUCCGCCGGUGCACAGAAGGCAUUAGUAAGGAACUUCCAGAUCAAAGAGUCCAAGAGUUGAUUGCGCAGGAAAUUAACUACAAGCGUGCGUUGCCAAAGACGUAUGCACAGUACGCCAGGAAGAAGCUCCAGGUUGCACAAGUCUUGGGAAUCAUUCCCAGGGCCGAGAUACCAGCGUAG
This 1365-nucleotide ribosomal RNA is filed under the name Triticum aestivum (bread wheat). RNAcentral's name for it is "partial small subunit ribosomal RNA". The record is from RNAcentral. Lineage: Eukaryota; Viridiplantae; Streptophyta; Magnoliopsida; Poales; Poaceae.